UGUAGCUGAGCGAGGCGGACCGGGUGCAGUAUGGAGGUGAAGGCGGGGUCCACGGCGGGUACCGAUGGCGCGUACUCGGUGUCUGCGGAGGAGACCGAAAAGUGGAUGGAGCAGGCGAUGCAAAUGCAUCAGGGUCUUUUCCAGUGAGUUGACUCUGCAUCAGAUGGCCAAAGGAUUGGAGCUUCAGCUUCACAACAGUCCUUCCAAUGAAUAUUCAAAGUUGAUUUCCUUUAAAAAUGAGUGGUUUGAUCUCCUUGCUGAACAAGGGACUGCUGAACAAGAGUUUUUUCUAACACCACCAUUUGAAAGCAUAUCAGGCCAAAGAUGCCCUAGACAAUACUGAAGUUCCUGUUGGCUGCCUUAUGGUCUACAACAAUGAAGUUGUGGGGAAGGGGAGAAAUGAAGUUAAUCAAACCAAAAAUGUAUGUGAGUUGAAUAGUAUAAUUGCAAACAUAUGACAGUGAUGGUAGACGUGGAAUGGAUUUCUCGUGGUUAGUGGCAAGAUGAAUUUGUGUAGAGUUCGGUGACCAUCAGUGGAAGGACAGUUUCCUGAAACCUUUUAAAAUGUCUUUUUUUUUCUGAUUAUAAAAAGUGAUCCAUACUGACUUUCAAAUUUUUGGAUAAUUCAGAAAAAUGUAAUGAAGCAGUAAAUUCUUUGGGUCUGAUUUUCCAUUUCAUAGAGCUUUACUUUAACACGAGUAAAACCCAAGAGGGGUUUUAUUACAUCAGAGUGUCCAUCUCUGAUGGACAUGAGAAGAAAUGAGUCCAUCUCCAUUUUAAGAAAAUGUAAUAUCUGGAAAUUCUACUUUAUAAGACAUAUCAAUUUAGCUCAUAUUGUAUCCUUCAGUGAGGCUUCCCUGGUAGCUUAGUUGGUAAAGAAUCUGCCUGCAAUGCAGGAGACCCCGGUUUGAUUCCUGGGUUGGGGUGAUCUGCUGGAGAAGGGAUAGGCUACCCACUCCAGUAUUCUUGGGUGUGUAGUACCUUUAAUUAUUGUGUUCCUCCUAGUCAAUUAAAAAGUCACCCUCAAUUGAUAGCUGUGGAGAUAUAAAAGGAUUGUAUAAAGAAAGCUAUUCCUAUAUCAGGUAAUUUGGUGGAGUACAGUCUCCACCACCUGCUGUCUCUGAACCUACAGGUACACGUUAAAAGCUUUCGUGACUUUAUUGUGGCUAGGUUGAGAAGUUAUGAAUUGAGGAAACACUUGUUGAAUUGUGGUAUCACCACAGCGUGUUACAGUGAGUAGAAAUGAAAUCUUAAGUUUUAGGAUUAUAAGAAGUGCCCAGGGGACUCAAGGAUAGCUUAUAAUCUUAACACCUCUCACGUUGACUUUGAUCUUACUUGGGAGCCAGAGAACAAGCUGGGGAUGCUAUGAGGACUCUCAAGUUCAUUCAUCACACCUAUCAACAAGAAAACUCAGAUUGAGUGAAACACAAGCAAAACAGGAACCCAAAUUUACAAAACAAUUGUUAGGUGGACAUCAAGAUGCCCGUAAGAUAUGUAAUAAGCCAUGUUUGUGUAUGUGUGUUAGUCACUCAGUCGUUUCCAACUCUUUACAACUGCAUGGAAUGUAGCCUGCCAGGCUCCUCUAUCCAUGGAAUUCUCCAGGCAAGAAUACUGGAGUGAAUUGCCCUUUACUUCUCCAGGGGAUCUUCCUGACCCAGGGGUCAAACCUGGGUCUCCUGCAUUGCUGGCAGAUUCUUUACCGUCUGAGCCACGUGGAAAGCCCAAUAAGCCAUAGUACACCAAUUAGUGAAUCUACAGAUACUUAUUCGGGAGUAGAAUUUUGUGCUUUAAAUAAUUGUCGUAUCUCCCUAUUUUUUCAGUACAGUAUCUUUAACAUGAGAAAGUCGGAUGUCCUAGCAACAUCUGUCUAAACCCCCAGUGACCUGAGUUUCUUCCACAUCUUGAAAUUAACCUGGAUUUAUUUUUUGUAUUCUGUGCUCUAUAGAAGGUUACCCUACAAUCAGAGUAUAGAAAGACUCUUGACCCCAAAAGAGAAGACAAGUCCUACUUUUGGCUCUGCUACCACUAACCUGCCGUCACCACCGCCAUCACCUCACCCAGCUGUGUGUCUUUAGUAACCUCCUAACAUACCUUACUUAGCUUCUGGUUCUUCAGCAGUAAAAGAGUUGAUUGAGAUGAUUUAGGUCAGUGAUUAUUUCUUGAGAACUAUGAGGACAUUUGAUUCAGUAAUUCUGAACCUGAUUUCUAAAAAGCACCCGAGUUGGAGGAACUUUGCUUUAUUUUUAAGCUCCCCAGUUCGUUCUGGUAUGCAGUCAGGUGGGGGAACCUCUUUGGCAAAGAACCUUCCAGCUCUGAGUUUAUCAUUCUGGGCCAGCAGGGUUCCCAUCUGCCUCUGGCUUCCAUGGCCCCUUGGCCACUGUGCCAGCACUUCCCACAGGUAAAUGAACACCUUUCUGUUUGCCCCACUGCAUUUUAUGCUUCUGGAGGACAGAGACUUUUUUCCCCACAGAGUUUAGUUCAGUGGCUUGUACAUAGUCGCCACUAAGUGUAAGUUUAUUGAUAAACAUGAUUAUCAUGAAUACUAUAAAUAGUUGCCACAUAGCAGAGUACAUUUAUAGUGUUAUGUGUGACUGUGCUGCAUAUAAUUCAUAUCACUUUAUGAGAUGUAGAUAUCAGAAUUACAUUUGGGGAAACUAAGGCUUGGAAAAGCUAUGUAACUUGCCCAAAGCUAUACAAUUAGUAAUGUCACAGUCGGGAUUUAGACUGAAGUAUGGUUGAUUUCAAAUUUUAUGCAUUUCUCCUAUACUCUACUGCUCCCAUAAGGUAUCUGAAACUGACACCAAACCUCUGCUUCUCUCUAGAAUCUGCCAGUAUAUAAGAUUUUAUCCCAGAGAAAAUGUUAAGUGAUGAUAUCCCAGUGAUGACAUUCUAAAUAUAGAUUUGUUUAGAGUAAGGUGAGUGACAGUCUUGAAAACAUAUUUGAACCUAAAGCACGUGCUUAUGAAAAUUUCAGAUUCCUUGGAAAUAUUCAGGAACCACAGACAUCUUUUUUUAUUUGAGACUUAUCUCUCUGGUAUUUUAAUUGAAAGAGUGUCCCCUAAAGUACUUAGCUACUUAACUAAAAAUAGAGCACUAAUUCCUGUGACAUCUCAGAUUAGGUAUCUUUUGUCGGCAAGGCUCUGGUACUUGAACUAGGAAAUACACUGUCAGCUGCUAAGGGUGUCCUGAAACCUUUAUUUGCUGAAAUGUUUGCAGAAACCAUAGGCCGGCCUCUCAUAUUUACUUUGGAAUAUUUGUCAAAUACUGUUACAUGUAGCCAAGGAGGUCAGUGCAGGCAGCUCUCUUUCCAGGCGACUCGACACGCCGAAAUGGUGGCCAUUGAUCAGGCCCUAGACUGGUGCCGUCGACGCGGCAAGAGUCCUUCCGAAGUGUUUGAACACACGGUGCUGUACGUCACCGUGGAGCCGUGUAUCAUGUGCGCGGCUGCUCUCCGCCUGAUGAGAAUCCCGCUGGUUGUCUAUGGCUGCCAGAAUGAAAGAUUUGGUGGUUGUGGCUCUGUUCUGGAUAUUGCCUCUGCUGAUCUACCGAGUACUGGGAAACCAUUUCAGUGCACCCCUGGAUAUCGGGCUGAGGAGGCGGUGGAGAUGUUAAAAACCUUCUACAAACAAGAAAAUCCAAAUGGUCAGUUUUCCCCUGCUGUGUGCACGUACUUAAUCGGCAAAUCCUUUAACACUGCGCCCCCUGAGACUCCCAAUAGACAGAAACGAUGUCAAUUCUAAAUUGCACAGUGAAGAAGUAUUUGAGGCAGACUUCAUGGAGAAGGAGGGACACUGACUGUACCCUGAAAGCUUUUGGGGCCACAAUGGAGAGGCAUUCAUAAAAUCCCCGAAGAAAUAACGUGGCCUACUCUUUGACUCCUGGAGGAUACAGAAGAAGAGAAUUUAGGAGCCGACGUGGAGGAAGUAGCUCCA
RNA transcript from Dama dama (fallow deer), 3932 nucleotides. It is a transcript of the gene named adenosine deaminase tRNA specific 2, with no coding region annotated. The transcript is spliced from 7 exons. The record is from RefSeq and is a predicted model, not a curated record. NCBI's taxonomy places the organism in Eukaryota, Metazoa, Chordata, Mammalia, Artiodactyla, Cervidae.